AUUGAACGCUGGCGGCAGGCCUAACACAUGCAAGUAGAGCGGAGGGGCGGACGGGGGAGUAAGACCUAGGAAUCUGACUGGGAGUGGGGGAUAAGGACCGCAAACGGGAGCUAAUACCGAAUACUAUCAGAAUAGGAUAGGUCGGAUUAGCUAGUUGGUGGGGUAAAGGCCUACUAAGGCGACGAACCGUACCUGGUCUGAGAGGAUGAUCAGUCACACGGUAACUGAGACACGGUCCAGACUCCUACGUGAGGCAGCAGUGGGGAAUAUUGGACAAUGGGCGAAAGCCUGAUGCAGCCAUGCCGCGUGUGUGAAGAAGGUCUUCGGAUUGUAAAGCACUUUAAGUGGGGAGGCGUUACCAACAGAAUAAGCACCGGCUAACUUCGUGCCAGCAGCCGCGGUAAUAC
Molecule: ribosomal RNA, 407 nt
Filed under: uncultured bacterium
Lineage: Bacteria
Description: partial 16S ribosomal RNA
Rfam family: Bacterial small subunit ribosomal RNA
Source: RNAcentral